RNAcentral lists this transfer RNA (71 nucleotides) under Marmota monax (woodchuck). It matches the Rfam family "tRNA". Rfam says of the family: Transfer RNA (tRNA) molecules are approximately 80 nucleotides in length. Their secondary structure includes four short double-helical elements and three loops (D, anti-codon, and T loops). Lineage: Eukaryota; Metazoa; Chordata; Mammalia; Rodentia; Sciuridae. The record is from Rfam by way of RNAcentral.
GUGGCUGUAGCUUAGUGGUAGAGCACUUGCCUAGCAUGUGUGAGGCACUGGGUUCAAUUCUCAGCACCACA